Molecule: long non-coding RNA, 187 nt
Filed under: Capra hircus (goat)
Lineage: Eukaryota; Metazoa; Chordata; Mammalia; Artiodactyla; Bovidae
Description: lncRNA (ENSCHIG00010028530.1)
Source: RNAcentral
AGAGCCUGGGGGAAGAGCCUAGCCUUCUGAGUUUUAACCAGCCCUCCCUUUGACAUGUGCUCAAACCCAGGACCCACCGAUCUAGAGGCUUUUUUGCCAUGAUCCUUAUAAGGCCCAUGGAAGAAGCUUGGUGAAUCAUCACAAGUUCAAAGUCCCAUUUACAAGACUGCUUCUCUGGUGGCGUAGA